GGUUAAGCGACUAAGCGUACACGGUGGAUGCCCUGGCAGUCAGAGGCGAUGAAGGACGUGCUAAUCUGCGAUAAGCGUCGGUAAGGUGAUAUGAACCGUUAUAACCGGCGAUUUCCGAAUGGGGAAACCCAGUGUGUUUCGACACACUAUCAUUAACUGAAUCCAUAGGUUAAUGAGGCGAACCGGGGGAACUGAAACAUCUAAGUACCCCGAGGAAAAGAAAUCAACCGAGAUUCCCCCAGUAGCGGCGAGCGAACGGGGAGCAGCCCAGAGCCUGAAUCAGUGUGUGUGUUAGUGGAAGCGUCUGGAAAGGCGCGCGAUACAGGGUGACAGCCCCGUACACAAAAAUGCACAUGCUGUGAGCUCGAUGAGUAGGGCGGGACACGUGGUAUCCUGUCUGAAUAUGGGGGGACCAUCCUCCAAGGCUAAAUACUCCUGACUGACCGAUAGUGAACCAGUACCGUGAGGGAAAGGCGAAAAGAACCCCGGCGAGGGGAGUGAAAAAGAACCUGAAACCGUGUACGUACAAGCAGUGGGAGCACGCUUAGGCGUGUGACUGCGUACCUUUUGUAUAAUGGGUCAGCGACUUAUAUUCUGUAGCAAGGUUAACCGAAUAGGGGAGCCGAAGGGAAACCGAGUCUUAACUGGGCGUUAAGUUGCAGGGUAUAGACCCGAAACCCGGUGAUCUAGCCAUGGGCAGGUUGAAGGUUGGGUAACACUAACUGGAGGACCGAACCGACUAAUGUUGAAAAAUUAGCGGAUGACUUGUGGCUGGGGGUGAAAGGCCAAUCAAACCGGGAGAUAGCUGGUUCUCCCCGAAAGCUAUUUAGGUAGCGCCUCGUGAAUUCAUCUCCGGGGGUAGAGCACUGUUUCGGCAAGGGGGUCAUCCCGACUUACCAACCCGAUGCAAACUGCGAAUACCGGAGAAUGUUAUCACGGGAGACACACGGCGGGUGCUAACGUCCGUCGUGAAGAGGGAAACAACCCAGACCGCCAGCUAAGGUCCCAAAGUCAUGGUUAAGUGGGAAACGAUGUGGGAAGGCCCAGACAGCCAGGAUGUUGGCUUAGAAGCAGCCAUCAUUUAAAGAAAGCGUAAUAGCUCACUGGUCGAGUCGGCCUGCGCGGAAGAUGUAACGGGGCUAAACCAUGCACCGAAGCUGCGGCAGCGACACUAUGUGUUGUUGGGUAGGGGAGCGUUCUGUAAGCCUGUGAAGGUGUGCUGUGAGGCAUGCUGGAGGUAUCAGAAGUGCGAAUGCUGACAUAAGUAACGAUAAAGCGGGUGAAAAGCCCGCUCGCCGGAAGACCAAGGGUUCCUGUCCAACGUUAAUCGGGGCAGGGUGAGUCGACCCCUAAGGCGAGGCCGAAAGGCGUAGUCGAUGGGAAACAGGUUAAUAUUCCUGUACUUGGUGUUACUGCGAAGGGGGGGACGGAGAAGGCUAUGUUGGCCGGGCGACGGUUGUCCCGGUUUAAGCGUGUAGGCUGGUUUUCCAGGCAAAUCCGGAAAAUCAAGGCUGAGGCGUGAUGACGAGGCACUACGGUGCUGAAGCAACAAAUGCCCUGCUUCCAGGAAAAGCCUCUAAGCAUCAGGUAACAUCAAAUCGUACCCCAAACCGACACAGGUGGUCAGGUAGAGAAUACCAAGGCGCUUGAGAGAACUCGGGUGAAGGAACUAGGCAAAAUGGUGCCGUAACUUCGGGAGAAGGCACGCUGAUAUGUAGGUGAAGUCCCUCGCGGAUGGAGCUGAAAUCAGUCGAAGAUACCAGCUGGCUGCAACUGUUUAUUAAAAACACAGCACUGUGCAAACACGAAAGUGGACGUAUACGGUGUGACGCCUGCCCGGUGCCGGAAGGUUAAUUGAUGGGGUUAGCCGCAAGGCGAAGCUCUUGAUCGAAGCCCCGGUAAACGGCGGCCGUAACUAUAACGGUCCUAAGGUAGCGAAAUUCCUUGUCGGGUAAGUUCCGACCUGCACGAAUGGCGUAAUGAUGGCCAGGCUGUCUCCACCCGAGACUCAGUGAAAUUGAACUCGCUGUGAAGAUGCAGUGUACCCGCGGCAAGACGGAAAGACCCCGUGAACCUUUACUAUAGCUUGACACUGAACAUUGAGCCUUGAUGUGUAGGAUAGGUGGGAGGCUUAGAAGUGUGGACGCCAGUCUGCAUGGAGCCGACCUUGAAAUACCACCCUUUAAUGUUUGAUGUUCUAACGUUGACCCGUAAUCCGGGUUGCGGACAGUGUCUGGUGGGUAGUUUGACUGGGGCGGUCUCCUCCUAAAGAGUAACGGAGGAGCACGAAGGUUGGCUAAUCCUGGUCGGACAUCAGGAGGUUAGUGCAAUGGCAUAAGCCAGCUUGACUGCGAGCGUGACGGCGCGAGCAGGUGCGAAAGCAGGUCAUAGUGAUCCGGUGGUUCUGAAUGGAAGGGCCAUCGCUCAACGGAUAAAAGGUACUCCGGGGAUAACAGGCUGAUACCGCCCAAGAGUUCAUAUCGACGGCGGUGUUUGGCACCUCGAUGUCGGCUCAUCACAUCCUGGGGCUGAAGUAGGUCCCAAGGGUAUGGCUGUUCGCCAUUUAAAGUGGUACGCGAGCUGGGUUUAGAACGUCGUGAGACAGUUCGGUCCCUAUCUGCCGUGGGCGCUGGAGAACUGAGGGGGGCUGCUCCUAGUACGAGAGGACCGGAGUGGACGCAUCACUGGUGUUCGGGUUGUCAUGCCAAUGGCACUGCCCGGUAGCUAAAUGCGGAAGAGAUAAGUGCUGAAAGCAUCUAAGCACGAAACUUGCCCCGAGAUGAGUUCUCCCUGACUCCUUGAGAGUCCUGAAGGAACGUUGAAGACGACGACGUUGAUAGGCCGGGUGUGUAAGCGCAGCGAUGCGUUGAGCUAACCGGUACUAAUGAACCGUGAGGCUUAACCUU
This 2906-nucleotide ribosomal RNA is filed under the name Escherichia coli. RNAcentral describes it as "23S ribosomal RNA". It matches the Rfam family "Bacterial large subunit ribosomal RNA". The record is from RNAcentral. Lineage: Bacteria; Pseudomonadati; Pseudomonadota; Gammaproteobacteria; Enterobacterales; Enterobacteriaceae.